UGAGGAAUAUUGGUCAAUGGGGGCAACCCUGAACCAGCCAAGUCGCGUGAAGGAUGAAGGUCUUAUGGAUUGUAAACUUCUUUUACACGGGAAUAAAGUGGGGGACGUGUCCCCCUUUGCAUGUACCGUGUGAAUAAGGAUCGGCUAACUCCGUGCCAGCAGCCGCGGUAAUACGGAGGAUCCGAGCGUUAUCCGGAUUUAUUGGGUUUAAAGGGUGCGCAGGCGGGAUGUUAAGUCGGCGGUGAAAUUUUGCAGCUCAACUGUAAAAGUGCCUUCGAUACUGGCCUCCUUGAGUGUGGAUGAAGUAGGCGGAAUUUGUGGUGUAGCGGUGAAAUGCCUAGAGAUUAGGAAGAACACCAGUGGCGAAGGCGACUUUCUGGACCGUAACUGACGCUGAGGCAUGAAAGCGUGGGGAGCAAACA
Molecule: ribosomal RNA, 422 nt
Filed under: uncultured bacterium
Lineage: Bacteria
Description: bacterial SSU rRNA
Rfam family: Bacterial small subunit ribosomal RNA
Source: RNAcentral